GGGGCAGUUCUUAGAGGUCAGCCUGCCCAGUGAUAACAUUCAACGGCCGCAGUACCCUAACUGCGCGAAGGUAGCAUAAUCACUUGUUCUUUAAAUAGGGACUAGUAUCAACGGCAUCACGAGGGUUGCACUGUCUCCUUUGUCUAAUCAGUGAAACUGAUCUCCCCGUGAAAAAGCGGGGAUACACCUAUAAGACGAGAAGACCCCAUGGAGCUUUAAACCUACAGCAACUCAACCACAUAAUCCCACACAACCUUAGAGACAUGCCUGUUGGCUUUAGGUUGGGGUGACCGCGGAGUAAAAAUCAUCCUCCACAACACAAAGAUCUAAAUCUUUAUUCAAGAGCCACUACUCUAAAAAUUAGCAUACUAAUGUACACUGACCCGAUAAUCGACUAAUGAACCAAGUUACCCUGGGGAUAACAGCGCAAUCUAUUUCAAGAGUUCAUAUCGACAAAUAGGCUUACGACCUCGAUGUUGGAUCAGGGUACCCUAGUGGUGUAGCAGCUACUGAAGGUUCGUUUGUUCAACGAUUAAAACCCUACGUGAUCUGAGUUCAGACCGGA
Molecule: ribosomal RNA, 565 nt
Filed under: Kurixalus silvaenaias
Lineage: Eukaryota; Metazoa; Chordata; Amphibia; Anura; Rhacophoridae
Description: partial large subunit ribosomal RNA
Rfam family: Bacterial large subunit ribosomal RNA
Source: RNAcentral